This 1020-nucleotide long non-coding RNA is filed under the name Olea europaea subsp. europaea. The record is from RNAcentral. Lineage: Eukaryota; Viridiplantae; Streptophyta; Magnoliopsida; Lamiales; Oleaceae.
AACCACAACAAUAAAUUAAGCCAUGUUCUUAAAAUAUUCAGAUGUGCAAUAAUAUUACUUUUCCAGAAUUGAAUACUCAAAAGAAAAAUACAUAACUCCAGCAGCUACCAAUUCCUAUCACAAAUACCAAGAUACACACUUCAAAUACAAUAAAUCAUUAACUUGUACUAUUCUCUAUAUUUAAUAUCCUCAGCAAAGCCUUGCGUCCUGCAAAACUUUAGGCAACUUAAUUCUGAGGUCGGGAUACGUAAAAAUCAUAUAAAAAGUUAAUCUAAAUUUUCUUGAAAUUUUGCAUAGCCAAACUGCAGGUUUCAUGUGAACAUUAUUUGUUAUGUGACAUCCAUGAGAUUAAGUUUAGAAUUUAUUUUUUUACUUUUAGCCAAAGUAUAGUAAUUUUUUGUAGUGUUUAGAUGUUUACUCUUUAUUAGCAUAAAAACCACUGCUCACAUUCACAUGAGAGACUUUUACACAUUGAGAAGAGGACCCCAGGGAAAUUUAAGACAAAUCACAAUAAACUCCCACUAAUCUUUGUCAUAUUCCAAACAAAUGUAUUCAACAUCAACACCUUGAAUUUCAUACGGGAUAAUUGUAAUUUAUCAUUGAAUUAUUUGGAGAAAUUACAUGGCUUAGAUAUGUUUGUAAUAGGAUCGAUGUCCGUAAGUCUUAUUCCCUAAACAUAAUGACUCACCGACUAUAUAAAAGGCACGGAUCUAGUUACCUUCUGAAAUUUCACAAAGCCAGAUGAACAGGGUUUUAUGGUCAGUCAAUGACCCUUGGAUGUCAAAGGAGUCCUUGAGGUGAUCUCAUAGUCUGAAAAUCAAUGUGCCUAAAAGGAAGAAGAUUGGAGAAACAAUCGUCUUAGCGCGUGGCUAUUAAAUUUCCCAUGAUUCCUCCACCAACCUCAAAAAGUUUGGCAGAAGAAAAGCUGACUCCUAAAGCAAGCUUCUCCAACUCAUCUCCUGCAUUUAAACAUGUUAUAAGAAUGUGAUAGUACAAUUCUCUUUUUUCAAGAACGUGAUA